UCCCUGGUGGUCCAGUGGUUAAGACUCUGUACUUCCCCUGCAGGGGACACAGGUUCAAUCCCUGGUCUGGGAG
This 73-nucleotide transfer RNA is filed under the name Bos taurus (domestic cattle). It matches the Rfam family "tRNA". From Rfam's summary of the family: Transfer RNA (tRNA) molecules are approximately 80 nucleotides in length. Their secondary structure includes four short double-helical elements and three loops (D, anti-codon, and T loops). Lineage: Eukaryota; Metazoa; Chordata; Mammalia; Artiodactyla; Bovidae. RNAcentral also lists the same sequence under 3 other names. The record is from Rfam by way of RNAcentral.